This 465-nucleotide ribosomal RNA is filed under the name uncultured bacterium. Its description in RNAcentral is "partial 16S ribosomal RNA". It matches the Rfam family "Bacterial small subunit ribosomal RNA", at positions 28 to 507 of the family's 1533-position model. The record is from RNAcentral.
GACGAACGCUGGCGGCGUGCUUAACACAUGCAAGUCGAACGGAAAGGCCCCUUUGGGGGUACUCGAGUGGCGAACGGGUGAGUAACACGUGAGUAACCUGCCCUUGACUUCGGGAUAACUUCAGGAAACUGGGGCUAAUACCGGAUAGGAAUCCUUGCUGCAUGGUGGGGGUUGGAAAGCUUCGGCGGUUUUGGAUGGACUCGCGGCUUAUCAGCUUGUUGGUGGGGUAGUGGCUUACCAAGGCUUUGACGGGUAGCCGGCCUGAGAGGGCGACCGGCCACAUUGGGACUGAGAUACGGCCCAGACUCCUACGGGAGGCAGCAGUGGGGAAUAUUGCACAAUGGGCGGAAGCCUGAUGCAGCAACGCCGCGUUCGGGAUGACGGCCUUCGGGUUGUAAACCGCUUUCAGCAGGGGCGAAGCUUGUGGUGACGGUACCUGCAGAAGAAGCACCGGCUAACUACGUG